CUCGCGCUAGUUUUCAUCGGACUUCGAGCGACGGAGAGAGAAGACGGAAGAACGGUGUGGAGAUCAGAAGCAUAGGAGUCGAAUGGACGUUUACAAUAUAGUAGGCCUGAAAUAACUGAGCAGUCGAUCUAGUGACCAAAGACAGCUCCAAGCUACUAGAAGAGAGAGAGAUGGUGGAAUCCGGAUUGGUCUUCAAGCGUUAGGGAUGGCGUUGUUUUCUUAGCGUCAAGAAACGUAAUUAAACCUGUGUAUUUUACUAGGGCUUUUCAACCCAAGAGUUCAGUUCUAUCACGAUGAUGCCUGUGUCCACAACAUGAAACAAAUUCAAGCACAUCCUCUCCUCAAGGCUGAAAAAGACAUGUACACUUUAACCAAAUCGUUCUCAAUUACUUGUUUACCUUACAGUAUUCACUGAUUAUUUUAUAUUGUGCAGAAGUUCUGUUUGUAGGUUAAAAAACGAAACUAUAUUGGUGGUUAGUAAAAACUGAAGACAAAUACAAACAAACUUAACAAACUAAAGGUGCUGACGAUAGAAUUUUGUUUUUCUACUUGACAGUUAAGAGAAUUCAACCUAGAUAAAGUGAUUUAUUGGAUCUUUGAUAUGAAUCCUAAAAGCACAGUUAUGUGUGUUGUUUGCCUGUUGUUGAGAGCACUGGUCGUCAGUACUAUAUUAUGGUUGGCUGUUUACGACUUGGGUGCCAGUGCACUGAAAGCCCACAUUCCAGGGGACAUCAUCUUUGGAGGGCUUUUCCCUAUUCAUAAGAAAAACGCAAAAAGCAAAUGUGGUCCAAUUAAUAAGGAUCGUGGCAUUCAAAGAACGGAAGCAAUGUUAUUCGCCAUCGACAAGAUAAAUCAGGAUCCUUCCAUUCUAGGGGACAUCAAACUUGGAGCUAUCAUUCUAGACACAUGUUCCAGUGACAGUUACGCCCUCAACCAAUCCUUGGAGUUUAUCAGGGCGUCCAUCAAUACCGUAGACUCUUCAGCUUUCGAGUGUCAAGACGGAACUCAUCCCAAACUAAAGUUCAGUAAUAAAGCAAUUAGGGGGGUGAUAGGGGGCUCUUACAGUGAGGUUUCUCUUCAAGUUGCGAAUCUACUUAGACUCUUCCGAAUACCUCAGGUCAGUCCAGCGUCUACUGGUACCUCACUUAGCGACAAAAGCAGAUACGAUUUCUUUGCUCGAACUGUUCCUCCAGAUACCUUCCAGGCUGUGGCUCUAGUAGACCUUGUGCAACUAUUUAACUGGUCCUAUGUUUCACUUGUGUCCUCAGAAGGUCAAUACGGUGACUCAGGAAUGAAAGCAUUCCAACAAGAAGCGCGUGCUAGGAAUAUAUGCAUUGCCGUGAACGACAAGGUUCCUCAUUCGGCCUCAAAAGCAAAAUUUGAUGAGAUUUACAGAAACUUGUUAACUAAAUCUAAUGCUAGAGGAGUAGUGCUUUUCACAAGAGCAGAAGAUUCGCGAGGAAUUCUUGAGGCUGCCAAACGAACCGGUUCCGUUAACACGUUCGCUUGGGUGGCUAGUGAUGGUUGGGGAACACAGGACAAACUAGUUGAAGGACUUGAGGCCGUUGCUGAAGGUGCCAUUACAGUCGAGUUGCAGUCCAAAGAAAUAAAUGAAUUUGAUUGGUAUAUGAAGAAUCUGACUCCCUUAAACAACCGAAGAAACCCUUGGUUUGAGGAGUAUUGGGAAGAUGUGUUUUCUUGUACGCUCCCUCAUAAUGUAAACCAUCAGAUUAACAACACUGUACUUGUAUGUUCGACUAAUCUAAGACUAGACGAAAGCGUUGGUUAUAAACAAGAGUCUAAAGUUCAGUUCGUCGUAGAUGCAGUCUACUCUAUUGCCCAUGCCCUCCACAGAGUCUGGGAAAACUUGUGUGGCCCUUAUGGAGAAGGUUAUUGUGAAGAAAUGAGGGAAUUAGACGGUGGUGUCCUCUAUCGAGAUUAUUUGCUUAAUGUUUCAUUUAUUGAUUUAGCGGGAAGUGAGGUGAAGUUUAACCACCAGGGAGACGGAUUAGGACGCUACAUCAUUUACAAUUAUCAGAGAAUAGGUAAUUCAUCGCUGUUUGAAUAUAAAAGACUAGGACGCUGGCUUGACGGACUGCAUCUUGACCUAGACGAGGUGGUAUGGAACCAGGGUAGGAGACAAAUCCCAGUGUCCAUCUGCAGUGCUCCUUGUGGAGUAGGAGAGGUAAAAAAGAUGCAAGUAGGAGACAUUUGUUGUUGGAUCUGUUCGAGCUGCAAACCAUGGGAAUACGUUCUAGACGAGUUCACUUGCGCGGACUGCGGCCACGGACGUUGGCCGUACGCGGACAAGGCAAGCUGCUAUGACAUAACUCAGCAAUAUAUGCGGUGGAACUCGUAUUUUGCCAUUGUACCUAUUGGAGUAUCUUGCCUGGGCAUCUUUCUGACAAGCACUGUUAUUAUUGUUUUCCUCCAGAACAACGACACACCGAUUGUCAAAGCAUCAGGGCGUGAACUGAGUUAUAUGUUGCUCACUGGUAUCCUGAUUUGUUUCUUUAUGACCUUCGUCUUGCUAGCUAAGCCCAGCAUGGUGAUCUGUGGGCUACAACGUUUCGGUGUGGGCUUCGGCUUCUCUAUAAUCUAUAGCUCGCUAUUAACCAAGACGAACCGUAUUUCUCGAAUCUUUGACAGCGCUCGCAAGUCUGCUAGUAGGCCUAGUUUCAUCAGUCCCAAGUCCCAAGUGGUCAUCACGUUAAUAUUCAUUGCAGUUCAGGUAAUCGGAACGAUGGUGUGGUUUGUGAUAGAGCCACCGGGGACCAAACAAUAUUACCCGGACGGAAAAAGAAACCAGGUUAUACUGAAGUGCAGAAUAAAAGAUUCCAGCUUCCUGAUAUCACUAGCGUAUAACAUGUUUCUAAUAACUAUCUGCACAGUGUACGCAGUAAAGACACGAAAAAUCCCAGAAAACUUUAACGAAUCCAAGUUCAUAGGAUUCACUAUGUACACAACUUGUAUAGUAUGGCUAGCAUUUGUACCCAUCUAUUUCGGCACAGGAAAUUCUUUCGAGGUUCAAAUUACCACCCUCUGCGUAUCGAUUUCGUUAAGCGCCUUUGUGGCGUUGUUCUGUCUGUUCUCGCCCAAGGUCUACAUAAUUGUGUUUCACCCUGACAAAAACGUACGCAAGCUCACGAUGAACAGUGCCACUUAUAAAAAAGCUCCGACAAGUAGUACGUGCGGUACAACCAAUCAUGGCAGUUCAGCAGAGCAAGUGAAACUGACAGUCCAAACCACACCCUCAAAAACUCAGACAGAAAGUGAUCGUGACAGUUUGGCUUCUUUGUGAACAACAAACACGCGUAAUAAAUGUGCUUCCGAAGAGAGAGAGAUCUGUACGAAAGUAAGAUUAGUGGAUGCGAAGAGUAAAUAACAAAACAGUGUUAUAAAACCUUGAUGUUAGUGAUAACUUUCUUCAUAAAAUUAACAAAAGACCGGAGGUUUUUAUGAUACAUCUUGUCCGUCAGAGAUUUUCUGAUAAAACGCUUUCGUUCUAACGCUAUUACAUUCUAUCGGAAUGUAGAUUCUUUUUCAGUUCAACCAAAAGGGGCUCACCACACGGCAGACAUUAUAAUGUUUAAUGUUAUGAUAUUCAAACAUAAGAUAUUUUUAAUUAUUUCCUAAUAUCAGUGGUUACUCAUGUUAUGUCAUCCUCCAAGUCUUCCCCUUUGGAAUUCAAGCACGUAAUCCAAUAGAUGAAAAAAGCCAGUGAAGAAGCUUCUUGCCACCAAUGAUGUCUGUAACAACGAGAUCUAUAAGAUGUGAAUGAGGUCUCGUAAAAACCUUGGAUAUUUGUACUAAUCCUUAAGGAAGGUACUCAUUUUAAGCCCAACUUUGUCUCUCUUGUUUCAUCUUGAAUAUGUCUCACUUAAAUACUUUGGCGUAAAUACUUUGAAAUAAUAGACAAGGCUUUAUCGUUUGAAGUCUUUAACAUUUUUAUAGAAUGAAAUAUGUGAUUAAUUUGACUGAGCACUACGUUCCAGUAAAUGAUUUAGGUUUUUAGAUGGCGCUCUUUAGAUUACUGAAUCAAUUGAAAUACUGUGCGAAAUUAAAAGUUUGUAACUAAAUGCUUACUACUUUAUCAUUCAUAGAGUAAACCUAGUAGUAGGAUGCAAAUGAUUGCUUACUACUUUAUCAUUCAUAGAGUAAACCUAAUAGUAGGAUGCAAAUGGUUGCUUACUACUUUAUCAUUCAUAGAGUGAACCUAAUAGUAGGAUGCAAAUGUGUUUUUUUUAAGAUGGGUUCUCUAAUUUUUAGAUUUUCAAACUUUUUUAUGUCUUGUAACGGUGAAGACAGUGAAGAUUUAUGUGUAAUGACAAUAAACAUUUGUCUUUUGUGAAUAAAAUGGGGCUCAUUUGCAAAAGACCAUCUGUUUUUGUCACGCACGAGGCCUAUAAGCUGCAUAUAAUUACGUUUUAAAAGCUUAUUGAACAUUAAAUCUGGAGAUCUAUGUGAUUUCGUAAUGCCUCUCCCUCUCUUUUUAAAUCCAAUUUAUUGGCUAUGAGGACAGGUAAUUUUGUACUGAAAAGGAACCUGGGCUCAUAAGGUUGUUUGACAAAAUACAUUUAAAGUCAAAAUAAAACUAAAUGAGAAGAAUUCUCGAAGAGUGCUUGAAUGUAAAUAUUGUAAUUAUAUAUAACUGUUCUGUCCGUGUACAACAACGUUCGUGGACAUCACAUGGUGCGUGCUCCAUUGAUGUUUCCCAGCACAUCAUUUUGGGCUUUUGUUGUUUGUAUCUGUCAAUAUAGGCAGCAUCAUAUUAUUUAGGUUUCCUACACAACCAGAGACGUUCACUCGCACAUCCUUUUGGCCUUUGUUGUCACGUUACUUUGUUGACUGUACUUGUGUAUACAAUCGGUAGUGUAUUAUUUAGCUGUACACAUCUAUACAACCAGGAAAGUUUACCAGCAUAUAAUCUGGUCUUUGUUGUAACAUUACGUUGUUGCUGUAUUGUGUAUACAACAAGCAGUGUAUUACUUGGUCGUACGUUACGUUAGUUAUGUUGACUGUAAUUGUGUAUACAAUAAGCAGUGUAUUAUUUGGUUGUACCUGUCUAUACAUCCAACAGUGUUUCUCAGCACUUCCUCUAGUCUUGUUGUCACGUUAGUUAUGUUGACUGUACGUCUAUGAAAUCAGUAACGUUUACCAGAACAUUCUCUGGUGUUUGCUGUAACGUCACUUUUUUAGAUGUACCUGCCUCUACAACCAGCAGGGUAUUGUUAUAACGAGAGUCAUUAGAAAAUAGAUUGUAAUCAAACGUUAAUUCAUUUCACGAUUUUUGUGAUAAUUAAGUUGAUUGAAUAGAGUUACCACAUUAUGUCAUAAGAGCCUGGGCCAUCAAUCGUAUUAUAUCGGAAAAGGUUGAAUGUCUGUAGUUUUUGGUUAAGAAGGUAUUAUAUGUAGCUAAACAGGAAAUAAUAAAAACAUGUUCUUUGGCUGUGAA
This 5455-nucleotide unclassified non-coding RNA is filed under the name Limulus polyphemus (Atlantic horseshoe crab). RNAcentral describes it as "metabotropic glutamate receptor-like, transcript variant X1". Lineage: Eukaryota; Metazoa; Arthropoda; Merostomata; Xiphosura; Limulidae. The record is from RNAcentral.